This 311-nucleotide long non-coding RNA is filed under the name Nicotiana benthamiana. RNAcentral describes it as "long non-coding RNA (NBEN_LNC011486)". The record is from RNAcentral. Lineage: Eukaryota; Viridiplantae; Streptophyta; Magnoliopsida; Solanales; Solanaceae.
GGAUGCGAUCGCAUAGAAGGAUAACUGGGCGGACAGAAUGUUUUAAGGGUUAUUUCACCCGCGACCUAUUUAUAAUUUCCACCAUUGCUAAGCAGCCCAAUGAGCUAUUUGAGCGAUUCGAAGCAUGUUUUCAACGGGUAUUGAUUGGAGGUAAGUCUCUUGACUUAAAAACACCAUUUUUAGGAAGAAUCAACCCUUAAUUCAUGAAAUUAUGUAGAAAUUGUGAAGAACUAGGGCUUAAUUUUUGGAAACGAAUUUUGGGCAUUUGAAAGGCCAUUCGAGCUUCGUUUUCGACAAACUUUAUAUGUACG